RNAcentral lists this ribosomal RNA (492 nucleotides) under uncultured bacterium. RNAcentral describes it as "partial 16S ribosomal RNA". It matches the Rfam family "Bacterial small subunit ribosomal RNA", at positions 29 to 507 of the family's 1533-position model. The record is from RNAcentral.
AGUGAACGCUGGCGGUAGGCCUAACACAUGCAAGUCGAACGGCAGCACAGUAAGAGCUUGUUCUUACGGGUGGCGAGUGGCGGACGGGUGUGGAAUACAUCGGACUCUACUUUUUCGUGGGGGAUAAAGUAGGGACACUUACGCUAAUACCGCAUACGACCUACGGGUGAAAGCAGGGGAUCUUCGGACCUUGCGCGAUUGUAUGAGCCGAUGUCGGAUUAGCUAGUUGGCGGGGUAAAGGCCCACCAAGGCGACGAUCCGUAGCUGGUCUGAGAGGAUGAUCAGCCACACUGGAACUGAGACACGGUCCAGACUCCUACGGGAGGCAGCAGUGGGGAAUAUUGGACAAUGGGCGCAAGCCUGAUCCAGCCAUACCGCGUGGGUGAAGAAGGCCUUCGGGUUGUAAAGCCCUUUUGUUGGGAAGGAAAAGCAGCAAGUUAAUACCCCGCUGUUCUGACGGUACCCAAAGAAUAAGCACCGGCUAACUUCGUG